UAUGUGGGGACGGAUCUUAAUAGGUCAUCCGGGUGUUGGAUAUCCCGGUUUAGGCAGAUGUAGGCGACAGGUAGGCAAAUCCGCCUGUCAUAUACCGAGGCUGCCGAUCGAGCGAGCUUGCUCGCGAAGUGAUCGAACGAGGUUCCAGGAAAAGCCACUAAGCUUCAGCUACACACGACCGUACCGCAAACCGACACUGGUGCGCGAGAUGAGUAUUCUAAGGCGCUUGAGAGAACUCGGGAGAAGGAACUCGGCAAAUUGACACCGUAACUUCGGAAGAAGGUGUGCCCUAGUAGUGUGAAGUGAACAACGGAGCAUGAAUGGGUUGCAAAAAAUCGGUGGCUGCGACUGUUUAUUAAAAACACAGCACUCUGCAAACACGAAAGUGGACGUAUAGGGUGUGACGCCUGCCCGGUGCUGGAAGAUUAAAUGAUGGGGUGCAAGCUCUUGAUUGAAGUCCCAGUAAACGGCGGCCGUAACCAUAACGGUCCUAAGGUAGCGAAAUUCCUUGUCGGGUAAGUUCCGACCUGCACGAAUGGCGUAACGAUGGCCACACUGUCUCCUCCCGAGACUCAGCGAAGUUGAAAUGUUUGUGAUGAUGCAAUCUCCCCGCGGAAAGACGGAAAGACCCCAUGAACCUUUACUGUAGCUUUGUAUUGGACUUUGAACAGAUCUGUGUAGGAUAGGUGGGAGGCUUUGAAGCAGGGUCGCUAGAUCUUGUGGAGCCAACGUUGAAAUACCACCCUGGUGUGUUUGAGGUUCUAACCUAGGUCCAUUAUCUGGAUCGGGGACAGUGCAUGGUAGGCAGUUUGACUGGGGCGGUCUCCUCCCAAAGCGUAACGGAGGAGUUCGAAGGUACGCUAGUUACGGUCGGACAUCGUGACGAUAGUGCAAUGGCAUAAGCGUGCUUAACUGCGAGACUGACAAGUCGAGCAGAUGCGAAAGCAGGACAUAGUGAUCCGGUGGUUCUGUAUGGAAGGGCCAUCGCUCAACGGAUAAAAGGUACUCUGGGGAUAACAGGCUGAUACCGCCCAAGAGUUCAUAUCGACGGCGGUGUUUGGCACCUCGAUGUCGGCUCAUCUCAUCCUGGGGCUGUAGCCGGUCCCAAGGGUAUGGCUGUUCGCCAUUUAAAGAGGUACGUGAGCUGGGUUUAAAACGUCGUGAGACAGUUUGGUCCCUAUCUUCCGUGGGCGCUGCAGAUUUGAGGAAGCCUGCUCCUAGUACGAGAGGACCGGAGUGGACGCACCUCUGGUGUAUCGGUUGUCACGCCAGUGGCAUUGCCGAGUAGCUAUGUGCGGAAGAGAUAACCGCUGAAAGCAUCUAAGCGGGAAACUCGUUCCAAGAUGAGAUCUGCCGGGGCCUUGAGCCCCCUAAAGAGUCGUUCAAGACCAGGACGUUGAUAGGUCAGGUGUGGAAGCGCAGUAAUGCGUUAAGCUAACUGAUACUAAUUGCUCGUGCGGCUUGACCCU
This 1469-nucleotide ribosomal RNA is filed under the name metagenome. Its description in RNAcentral is "bacterial LSU rRNA". It matches the Rfam family "Bacterial large subunit ribosomal RNA", at positions 1463 to 2925 of the family's 2925-position model. The record is from RNAcentral.